AUGAGAGAAUUUGAAAUUAAAGGGGGAUAUGAAAAAUACGAAAAAUGGAAAAGAAGUAUUCAUUGCAAUGGACGCCGUCUUCAAGAUUGGAUAAAGGCAUGCUGGUGGUAGAUAGCUCCGUGUUUCCUGGGAAGGACAUCUACCAAGCAGACCCACCUAGGAUAAGGGGACAGAGGGAAAACCCAACAAGCCCAGAGUGAACAAAGAAAAACAUAACUGCCCUGUGACCUUCUGCCAUGAUGUCUGAGGCCCUCAUCUGAAAAUUGUUAGUUGUUCAUCUCUGGCAUGUUACUUUUAAAAUUCAGUGAUAAUAAAAAUGGAUUUUAUCAUAUGGCAACAACCCAUGUAA
This is a long non-coding RNA of Microtus oregoni (creeping vole), 349 nucleotides long. RefSeq lists it as uncharacterized. NCBI's taxonomy places the organism in Eukaryota, Metazoa, Chordata, Mammalia, Rodentia, Cricetidae. The record is from RefSeq and is a predicted model, not a curated record. The transcript is spliced from 3 exons.